Molecule: long non-coding RNA, 1937 nt
Organism: Formica exsecta
Lineage: Eukaryota; Metazoa; Arthropoda; Insecta; Hymenoptera; Formicidae
Exons: 6
Source: RefSeq, a predicted model, not a curated record
CAUUUCGAUGAAUCGAAAGACAUCGUGAGAUGCAGUCGAUUAUGAAAUGGCGGCGGUGAUGGAUAAAGAUUUGCGCGAAAUAUCGAAUUCUUUUUCGCGAUUCUUUCGCAGAAUUAGAAGUUGUCGGCUGUAACCAAGGCGGACUAGAACAACGGAUACUAAUAGGAUGACUAUGGAAUUCGGGAAGCUGGAGGAUGCUCCGUUCACAUUCCAGCAGACGUCGAGCUUACAAUUGGACACCAGUUUGCCUAAUCUCCUCUUCAAAAAUUCCCAGUCGCAAAGGCCCACCUGGCAGCCUUCGUAUCGCACUGGUUUUUCCGCCAGACAGCGAGCUUAACGGAGCGGACUCUCAUUGGAAGAAAAGCGCUUUUCCUUUCUCGUCUCGCGGAUCGCGGAAUAAACCUACAUUUCGCCGCCGGCUGACGACAUCGCAGAAUAUAAUUUAUUAUCAACUCUUAUGAAGAAGCUAGCGUAACGUGGCUGUGCCGAUUGCAUAACCGGAAGUAUUCGCGCGUUCGCCGCCGAAGUUUUGCCGCGAGCAUUGCCAGUCCACAGAUGUUAGACAAUUUAUUCAAGUGAAAAAUAACUGAACACAUCUUGAGGAUACAAGAAUGCGCGAAGAUUCGAACGAGAGAUUUGGAGGGACUGGAAGAUCUAAUUAUCUCGCAGGGAUUUGAUUUUUGUGAGAACAUUGUCGACGCGAAGUCCAAAAAUAGCCUCCAAGUGAAUGAGAGAGUAGAAUUAUUACGUCGUACAUUGAUCAAUAAAAUUCUAAUCGAUGUAAACUGGUUUCCAGUAUACUUCUAAGCCUGGGAGACUCUCCUCUCGCUAGGUGCGGCUAUUUUUGAGAUUUUGUAAUCGACGAAGAAUUAGAAAUAGCUCGUAUGUAAUAGUGACGAAUAAGGCAAUGAAACGCGAUUAGAGUCUUCUUCUUUCGCUGAUGACUUUACUACUGCUUGGCCUACUUAUGCUUAAUUUCUCGUGUCCGCACAUACCACGCAAGUGCUACUGCCGUAUCUUUAAACAUCGUUGCAAAUCUUAUUUCAAUGCGAAAUCCAUUAUUCAUGCCCGUCCCGCUUCAGGCGUCAUUCGAAGGACUAUUUAAUUGGUAGAAUGAACGAAAUUAAGAUUACUCUAACGAUUCUUCGAUUGGGAUGGAAUUACUUAAGAACGAAGGAUAUCGUGAUUUAUAAAAGAAAUCGAGAUAAUUACUCUUAGAAAGGAAGAGGAUAUUACGAAAGGAAGAAGAUUAGGAUAAUUAUGAAAAAGACUAAGAGAAAAUCGAAGCAAGAAACGAUCGAAUAAAACUUCUUUAUGUGAGAUUUGUGGAUGACUUCAAAUCACGAUGGCUUAACGUUAACUCUACGUAAAAUAGAAAAGAUACGCUUAAAUAUCCUUCAUGACAAAUUUGCGCAGCUGCAGCGAAACGAUUAAAGCAUAAAGAUAUGAAAACGGGACUGAAUCGAUCGGAUACAUACGAGGAUCUAAAAACGCUCGGUGAUCUAGGAACAAACAGUAUCCGGAAUGCUGCAAAUUGAGAUCAAAGAUUCUUGGGAGAGAAAAGAUUCACUUCCGAGGUAAGGAAUGUAAACAAUGCACACUUUCGCGCGCGAUCGCCAGGUUUGUGUUCAAAGCCGCUGCUCGCCGCGGCGGUUCGUGUGGUACUGUCGCGCGAGGUCGUCGCGCCUGGUUGCUUACUGGACAGCCGACGGCACCUAGACCUGGCGUCUAGCGCAAUUCUAACGUGCAUUUCAACCUCGAUCUCUUCGACCCGGUUUAGAGACACGCGGGCGUUUCUAUUUCAAUCGUUCGAUCCUUACCACGGUACGCGUUAGAUCUUCAGACUCUAGGGAAAAGUCGAUCUUGCAUUCCAUUUCUUAUUUAUAUGCAAAACGUCGGCGAAUGAAAGAUAUUGAUGAGAAUCAAAGGUGUUUCAA